CUCUCGUGGUAACAUCGCACAAUCACAAUAGCGGAACCAACAAAACAGUGAUGUGGUUGCAGCCGGGACUCUAAGAGCAGACGCACGUCGUUCAUGUAGCAACUUUGGACCACACGGGAAAGUGUAAAUCCAACGAAAAGUGGCUGUCCAACCAAGAUUUAUCUUCACGGCUGAAAGCGGUACCAGGUAGUGUGUACGAGGCACGGUGUAUUUUGUGCAAGAAAUGUUUCAAACUCGGCACGAUGGGAGUGAAGGCAGGGGAGUCACAUAUGUCAAUGUGGGUCAAAUGAGGGAGCUGGAGCUUUAUUCCGUGCUGUGUUCCCAGACUCUGACAUUGCCCACUCGUUUGCGUACGGUUCCGACCAGACGGCCUACAUCAGCUAGUUUGGAUUAGCCCCGUACAUUUCAGAGCAGCUUGUUGCGGAUGCUAACAAGGACGCGUUCGUUUUAAUGUUUGGCGAGAGCCUCAACCAGACCACGAAAACAAAACAACUGGAUCUGCAUAUCCGCUAUUGGUGCGAAGAUCACGUCCAGUCAAGAUAUUCGGGGUCGCAGUUGAUGGGACAUGGAACAGCUGAGGAUUUACUACGCCAUUUCAAAGAAGGUGCCAAGGACCUGGAUAGGCGUAAGCUGCUGUCCGUCUCCAUGGAUGAACCAAACGUUAAUUGGAAGUUCCUGGAGCUACUGCAGCGAGAACAUAUUGCAACUGAAGGAAUUUUGCCUGGAGACAAAAGAACUACAGACUCUUCACAACCUGCUCAAACUCUUGGUACAGGACCUCACCACACGGGUCAAGAAGGUUUCUGUCUCAUUUCUACUCUGAAGCUCACCUUCUCCUGCUCAAACUGUUGACAAAUGUUUCUGCUGCUCUACAGUCUGGUCUCCAGAACUUUCUAAAAACUCUCAAAGUCUCUUCUGCUGCAGGUUGCUUUGUAGAACUGUUCCAGAAAACCUCACUAAACCACAUGGAGGGGCCUCAAGAUAGUCGUCCAAAUGAAACCGUACAAAAACCAAACUAGCACAAGCCAAACGCUAAAGUCUCCUGCAGCCUACCAGAGAACCUCUGAGAACAGAGAAUCAGGACAGGAACUCUUACCUUCUGGACAACCAACGUUGGUUCAUAAACAAGAAUACAGAAUGUGUCUGACCAAAAACCUCUGAAGACUCACUACAGCCAAGAUAAAGACACAACUCAGCUGCACCAAAUCCACUAAUCACUGCACACAUUAGCACCAUGUGCUAACUGUGGCUAAAGAACCACAUUUACCAAGACAACUAUCCAGUACAAAGCCCUAAAACACACCAAGAAACACAUUAAAGACGAUUUUACUGCUGGAAGCUGCAAGCCAACGCCUAAAGAACAAACUGAAGCAAUGGAGCCAAACACAGCUCAGUGGUGAAGAGAAGCAGAGGAAAUGUUUGGCUGCAGCUAAAUAAAGCAGGAAGAGACUGAGCUGCUCAGGUGUUCCUGAUAACGCCUAGCAGCCACCUGGACAGCCAAUAGGAACACAGCUUACUGGAAGUCCAGAGGGCUGGGUUAGUGAAGUAAAUUUAGUUUAAAAUUGAGGCAGAAAGUUAAUAAAGAAAGUUGAAAACCACCUUCUGCUACCUGAAAUCUCUGAGUUUUCACACAAAGAACACCUGAACAUGUCAAACUGGUUCCAUAGUAGAACCCUCAUUGUAAAAACGUCAUAGUAUGGUGUGUUGCUCAAAAAACAUUACCACCCGG
Molecule: long non-coding RNA, 1729 nt
Organism: Amphiprion ocellaris (clown anemonefish)
Lineage: Eukaryota; Metazoa; Chordata; Actinopteri; Pomacentridae
Source: Ensembl